This 431-nucleotide ribosomal RNA is filed under the name uncultured bacterium. RNAcentral's name for it is "bacterial SSU rRNA". It matches the Rfam family "Bacterial small subunit ribosomal RNA", at positions 29 to 506 of the family's 1533-position model. The record is from RNAcentral.
ACGAACGCUGGCGGCAGGCCUAACACAUGCAAGUCGAACGCUCCGGCAAUGGAGAGUGGCAGACGGGUGAGUAACGCGUGGGAACCUUCCCAGUGGUACGGAAUAGCCCAGGGAAACUUGGGGUAAUACCGUAUAAGCCCCUAGGGGGAAAGAUUUAUCGCCAUUGGAUGGGCCCGCGUCGGAUUAGCUAGUUGGUGAGGUAACGGCUCACCAAGGCGACGAUCCGUAGCUGGUCUGAGAGGAUGAUCAGCCACACUGGGACUGAGACACGGCCCAGACUCCUACGGGAGGCAGCAGUGGGGAAUAUUGGACAAUGGGCGAAAGCCUGAUCCAGCCAUGCCGCGUGAGUGACGAAGGCCUUAGGGUUGUAAAGCUCUUUUGGCGGGGACGAUAAUGACGGUACCCGCAGAAUAAGCUCCGGCUAACUUCGU